RNAcentral lists this ribosomal RNA (253 nucleotides) under uncultured bacterium. RNAcentral describes it as "partial 16S ribosomal RNA". It matches the Rfam family "Bacterial small subunit ribosomal RNA", at positions 524 to 776 of the family's 1533-position model. RNAcentral also lists the same sequence under 1 other name. The record is from RNAcentral.
UACGGGGGGGGCAAGCGUUGUUCGGAAUUACUGGGCGUAAAGGGUUCGUAGGUGGCCAACUAAGUCAGACGUGAAAUCCCUCAGCUUAACUGGGGAACUGCGUCUGAGACUGGAUGGCUUGAGUGCAGGAGAGGAACGCGGAAUUCCAGGUGUAGCGGUGAAAUGCGUAGAUAUCUGGAGGAACACCGGUGGCGAAGGCGGCGUUCUGGACUGCAACUGACACUGAGGAACGAAAGCCAGGGGAGCAAACGGG